GUGGGGAAUCUUCCGCAAUGGACGAAAGUCUGACGGAGCAACGCCGCGUGAGUGAAGAAGGUUUUCGGAUCGUAAAGCUCUUUCGUUAGGGACGAACGUGCUCUUUGUGAAUAAUGAGGAGUAAUGACGGUACCUAAAUAAGAAGCCACGGCUAACUACGUGCCAGCAGCCGCGGUAAUACGUAGGUGGCAAGCGUUGUCCGGAAUUAUUUGGCGUAAAGCGCGCGCAGGCGGGAUAUCAAGUCUGGCUUAAAAGUGCGAGGCUCAACCUCGUGAGGGGACAGAAACUGGUAUUCUCGAGUGUCGGAGAGGAAAGUGGAAUUCCAAGUGUAGCGGUGAAAUGCGUAGAGAUUUGGAAGAACACCAGUGGCGAAGGCGACUUUCUGGACGAUGUCUGACGCUGAGGCGCGAAAGCUAGGGGAGCGAACGGGAUUAGAUACCCUAGUAGUCC
This 450-nucleotide ribosomal RNA is filed under the name uncultured bacterium. RNAcentral describes it as "partial 16S ribosomal RNA". It matches the Rfam family "Bacterial small subunit ribosomal RNA", at positions 354 to 796 of the family's 1533-position model. The record is from RNAcentral.